GUCUGAUUAGUUAAAGGGUAUAACUACCGUCUUGUAAACGGUCAUUGUAUGUUCGAAUCAUGCAUCAGGCA
Wallemia ichthyophaga EXF-994 is the source of this 71-nucleotide transfer RNA. It matches the Rfam family "tRNA". Rfam says of the family: Transfer RNA (tRNA) molecules are approximately 80 nucleotides in length. Their secondary structure includes four short double-helical elements and three loops (D, anti-codon, and T loops). Further hydrogen bonds mediate the characteristic L-shaped molecular structure. tRNAs have two regions of fundamental functional importance: the anti-codon, which is responsible for specific mRNA codon recognition, and the 3' end, to which the tRNAs corresponding amino acid is attached (by aminoacyl-tRNA synthetases). tRNAs cope with the degeneracy of the genetic code in two manners: having more than one tRNA (with a specific anti-codon) for a particular amino acid; and 'wobble' base-pairing, i.e. permitting non-standard base-pairing at the 3rd anti-codon position. The record is from Rfam. NCBI's taxonomy places the organism in Eukaryota, Fungi, Basidiomycota, Wallemiomycetes, Wallemiales, Wallemiaceae.